Molecule: ribosomal RNA, 253 nt
Filed under: uncultured bacterium
Lineage: Bacteria
Description: partial 16S ribosomal RNA
Rfam family: Bacterial small subunit ribosomal RNA
Source: RNAcentral
UACAGAGACCUCAAACAUUGUCCGGAUUUAUUGGGCGUAAAGGGUCCGCAGGCGGUCAUGUGCGUCAUGAGUUAAAUCUCAGGGCUUAACCCUGGAACCGCUCGUGAUACGGCAUGACUAGAGGGUGGGAGAGGUGAGCGGAAUUCACGGUGUAGCAGUGAAAUGCGUAGAUAUCGUGAGGAACACCAGAGGCGAAGGCGGUUACCUGGACAGUUACUGACGCUCAGGCACGAAAGCAUGGGGAGCAAAAGGG